AGUAAAUAGAUACCCGGGUAGUCCACGCCGUAAACGAUGAGUACUAGGUGUAGGAGGUAUCGACUCCUUCUGUGCCGCAGUUAAACACAAUAAGUACUCCGCCUGGGAAGUACGGUCGCAAGAUUAAAACUCAAAGGAAUUGACGGGGGCCCGCACAAGCAGCGGAGCAUGUGGUUUAAAUUCGAAGCAACGCGAAGAACCUUACCUAGACUUGACAUCUCCUGAAUAGUGUAGAGAUACAUGAAGCCCUUCGGGGCGAGGAAGACAGGUGGUGCAUGGUUGUCGUCAGCUCGUGUCGUGAGAUGUUGGGUUAAGUCCCGCAACGAGCGCAACCCUUAUUAC
Molecule: ribosomal RNA, 342 nt
Filed under: uncultured bacterium
Lineage: Bacteria
Description: bacterial SSU rRNA
Rfam family: Bacterial small subunit ribosomal RNA
Source: RNAcentral